CUACGGGUGGCUCCAGUGGGGAAUUUUGCGCAAUGGGGGAAACCCUGACGCAGCAACGCCGCGUGAAGGAUGAAGGCCUUUGGGUCGUAAACUUCUGUCAGUGGGGAAGAAAUGCCCGCAAGGGAGCUGACGGUACCCACAAAGGAAGCACCGGCUAACUCCGUGCCAGCAGCCGCGGUAAUACGGAGGGUGCAAGCGUUGUGUCGGAAUUAUUGGGCGUAAAGCGCAUGUAGGCGGUCUGUUAAGUCUGGUGCGAAAGCCCGGGGCUCAACCCCGGAAGUGCAUUGGAUACUGGCAGACUUGAGUAUGGGAGAGGAAAGUGGAAUUCCGAGUGUAGGAGUGAAAUCCGUAGAUAUUCGGAGGAACACCAGUGGCGAAGGCGGCUUUCUGGACCAAUACUGACGCUGAGAUGCGAAAGCGUGGGUAGCAAACAGGAUUAGAUACCCGGGUAGUC
RNAcentral lists this ribosomal RNA (454 nucleotides) under uncultured bacterium. Its description in RNAcentral is "partial 16S ribosomal RNA". It matches the Rfam family "Bacterial small subunit ribosomal RNA", at positions 339 to 795 of the family's 1533-position model. The record is from RNAcentral.